This 191-nucleotide non-coding RNA is filed under the name Pseudactinobacillus ducreyi. RNAcentral describes it as "Haemophilus ducreyi Lysine sequence". It matches the Rfam family "Lysine riboswitch aptamer". From Rfam's summary of the family: Riboswitches are metabolite binding domains within certain messenger RNAs that serve as precision sensors for their corresponding targets. Lineage: Bacteria; Pseudomonadati; Pseudomonadota; Gammaproteobacteria; Pasteurellales; Pasteurellaceae. The record is from RNAcentral.
CAUUGCGGGAGAGGCGCAACACUCAGGCAAUUUAAUCUUAGGCAACUAGGGCCGUUUGAGGAUUAAAUGAUGGGAGUGGUUUGCCGAGGUGUGAAUUCACUAGACUGGAAUGAACAUCGGCUGAGUCAGGUUGAAUCCUAUCAGCUGUCAUUUAAAACGCAUUAGCUGUUUAAAUGGAGUGCUCUGAUUAA